UACGUAGGGGGCUAGCGUUGUUCGGAAUUACUGGGCGUAAAGAGUGUGUAGGCGGUGUUCCCAGUCUGUUGUGAAAUCUCCCGGCUUAACUGGGAGGGUGCAGCGGAAACUAGAAUGCUAGAGGGUGGGAGAGGUAAGCGGAAUUCCUGGUGUAGCGGUGAAAUGCGUAGAUAUCAGGAGGAACACCUGUGGUGUAGACAGCUUACUGGACCACUUCUGACGCUGAGACACGAAAGCGUGGGUAGCAAACAGG
RNAcentral lists this ribosomal RNA (253 nucleotides) under uncultured bacterium. RNAcentral's name for it is "partial 16S ribosomal RNA". It matches the Rfam family "Bacterial small subunit ribosomal RNA", at positions 524 to 776 of the family's 1533-position model. The record is from RNAcentral.